CCCUAACAAUGAAGCGAUUCCCUGAAGACCCUUGCGGUCGCGGUUGGGAAACACUGUUAUAAACAAAUCUUUUUGAUCCACUCUCCGUUUUGUUGCUAUUUGAUCUUCUUUGCUUGUUCAAAGCUUCUAUUGUGUCACCGUCGCGUCAGUCCAGUUGAUCGUCCGUCUUCAUCCUUCUAUUGUUGAAUUAUUUUAUUGCUGUUUGAUCGUGAGCAUAGCAGUUUUUCUUGUUAAUUUCUAUACGUUUAAACACAAUUCGAGAGCUCAUCAAGCCGAACUGUGUAAGAAGUGAAUAUAUCUCAACGAAGCUAUCGAAUUCUAGCAAAUUGUUUCUGCUCUUUUCAGAUUAAUCGCUUAGUGUUCAAACCCACUGCACCUUUCCUUCUCUGAAACAUUGUGCUGCAAUUCUACGACAUUAUAAUGGACAUGGCAGCUACCCUCAAUAUCUCAAUUCCACAACUGCACGACCAACUUCGCUCCCUUGCCGGAGUAAUAGCGGUCAGGGAUCUAGAAGUGGUGUGUACAGGAGUGGUUCAGAUGAACGUAAUAUUAGUGGUUGAUCCAACGGCCGAAACGGACGAAAUUAUAGUCGCUGCCAAUGCCAUUGCCCGGGAUGGAUACAACAUUAAGAAGGCUCACGUACAAAUACAGAGGAUGCCAGAGGAUCAUAAACAAAAAUAAGAACGCUUGAUUGUGAUGUGGUGCUUGCAUCAUUAAGAAAAACAUCACGAAAAGUUGAAUAAAAUUUUACAUAAUUACUAGAA
Molecule: long non-coding RNA, 764 nt
Organism: Aedes albopictus (Asian tiger mosquito)
Lineage: Eukaryota; Metazoa; Arthropoda; Insecta; Diptera; Culicidae
Exons: 2
Source: RefSeq, a predicted model, not a curated record